Molecule: RNA transcript, 2058 nt
Organism: Phalaenopsis equestris
Lineage: Eukaryota; Viridiplantae; Streptophyta; Magnoliopsida; Asparagales; Orchidaceae
Gene name: UPF0769 protein C21orf59 homolog
Source: RefSeq, a predicted model, not a curated record
AGAGCUGCCCUGCCGCAGCAGUUGUUCUGGAUAGAACCUUAUCGGAAGCUGAGUCAUAUGCAUCCAAGGAGCAAGUUUUGCAUCAAAGGCUCUUGUCGCCUUACUUUCUCCGAGACCAUAUUCAGAACAUAGAAAGGGAAGUCAAGCUUGCUCAUUCAAGUGGUUUGGCAGAAUCGAUGACUCAAUUAACAACUUUCAAUCCAGAACUUCAUCAAGAUGUUCAACUUAUAUGGGCGGGAAAAGAGUUAUCGAGGGGGAAAAAGUUAUGUGAAUAUAUUGGUGAAAAUGAAAAAACAAAGAUUACAAUCAAAUUAAAAUUUGGCUGCUAGGACCUGAAAAUAUGCUGUUAUUUUCCAGUUCUCAAAUGUGGAAGAAGAAUGCUGACUAUUAUUAUGGUUGAUUCCCGCUAGCCAAGAAAUGCCGAAGUUUUUCAUUGUGUAUUUACUGAAGCAUCUCUCUUUCUCUCUCUCUACUAGGAGUUUUGAAAGAGCAAGCAUGCAUGAUGUAGCUCAUAUAAGGUUGUUAUCUGAGUUUUUGAUAAUAUAUACAAGUUUAUGAACUAAAUCAUUUGAGCUAGACAAAUUACAAUAUCAUGAUGUGUGCAUUCCUUUCUCUAUUCACCCAAGACGAUCAUCCGGAGCGAACAAGAAUUGGUGAUCGGAUGCGGGCGAAAUUCCUGCCAAUGUUGAGAUGUUUAGAUGACUCCCCACCCCCUUCUUGGGUGUCAUGAUUAUAUAAGCAAUAUGUAGAAUAAACCUUUAAAUCUAUUUAUGUUUGCAAUCAGUUGUAUUGGAUAAGUUUGUCAAUUACAAUUUAUUUUGAUGUUUAAUAGUUUUAAAGGACUGUUUUUGCUCAGAUGAACCCAAGUUUCGGUUCAAUGAUUGUAUUUUUCUUGGAUGUACAUUCAUCUCAGCGGGUGUGUUUAAUCCUAUGAAAGAUGAUGUUUCAUAAUAUGAACCCCAAAUAAUUGGUAGAAGGCUGAUGAUGGUGGUGGUGAUGAUGAUUUACUCAAUCCUACUUCAAAAUUUUGAUAGUAUUUUUUGACUUUAAUCUAUUGGAUCAAAUCUGCUUCAAAAUUGAUUCAAUUGAUCAUUUUUUAUUCGUUCAAAAUUUGGGACACCAUGACUUUGUUUGCUUAUGUGAAAAGAAUGCCGGAAUAUUUUGCGGCCUCAAGUUUUAAGUUUUAACUUGUUAAUAUUGUAUGUCUCAUCUUUGCUUUUACUUUAGCUUGCAUUGGUUGCAAAUACAAUCUCCUGAAAGAAGAAUAGCAUCCCUAACUAUUUAGGGUUAUUUGUAUAAAAAUCCAUGUAGAUUGAGGUUUUCUUGCAAAGGGACAGUAAUUUCUUGAAACUCUGACAAUACUACUAGGCUUUGUCAUAAAACAUAGUAUAGCAAAAUUCUGUAGCAAUCCUUAUUAAUACUGCCAGUGUUUUAAUAGGCCUUGCUAUAAGGCUAAGGUUAGUCUUCCUUAUUAAUGAAAUAUACUAAAUUAUCAUUUCUAACAAAAUGCCAAAAUUUUAUGGAGUUUUAGACAAACAAGAAGAACAUUUAUAUUCUUGUCCAAAAAGUAACGCCAAUGUUUAAGGGUUGGCAUCAUUGCAAAGAAUCACUGAAUGAUCCUUCAAACUUUAAACGUGCUAUAUCUCAUAUCUCAACCAUAUGUGAUAAAAAUGUUACUUUUCUCCAUCAAAAUUAACUCUUUUACUCUGUUAUGUUUGUUAUUCAGCAUUCGAUCUCUUUUGUGUUAUUUUAGCUGUAGUUCAUUACGAUUAAAUCCUGAUAAACAACUCUAGUGCAAAUGAUACCAAAUUGUGGUGUUAAUUCGUCAUAGAAAAAUGGCAUCUUUCCCCACAUAAAAUGACAAUCAAGGUCUUAUCUUUUCCAAUAUCUUGUUAUUCUGAAAUUUCAUUUCAAAUGUGGACCAACUUGAUGCAUCUCUUGUAUGUACAAAUGUUUAAAUUAUGACCGUUGGGGACUUCCUUGUUUCUUCAUUCUAGAGAAAGAUACUCAUGUAAGCGCAUCAUUUCCCAAUAACUCUUUCUUCUCUAAUUUUCUUCC